GCAGUGAUGCAGAUGAUCUGUGUGGCUCUUACUCUACUUUGCCCUCCUCAGUCCAGCUGCUGCCCUUUUCUUGGCGACUUUGAGGUCCCUCCGACUCGGCUGAUCUUCCCAAAGGGGUGUCCUGGAGAUCUUAGCCCAAAGAAGUGAAUUUACGUGGGAAUUUCAGCCAUUGUGGCAGACCAGGUGAAGAAGUUUUGAGAGUGAGUGUGCUUAGUGGAAAUGCUUAAUUCAACCCCAAAGGAUGGGACACUGGAAUAAAACUGGCCUCGUUCAACUUUUUGUUCGGUUCUUCUUCUGGUAACGAAGUUAUCACUUCACUUUUUGUGUGUCCAAAAGGAAACUUGGAAUCCAAAUUGGUGAAGUUCAUGAAGAACAGUCGUUGGAGGCACUCAUGUUCAGCAGUCAUUUUUCCAUAUAGUCCUAAAGUAACUUCUAACUUUUGGCAUAGAUGUUGAUGCUUCUUCAAAAGAUUUGUGUCUUCUGGUUUUCAUGUGGUCAGUGGUAUCACUUAGCCCUCAUGAGAGAUGGUAAACCGUAUUGAUAAACAUUCUAAGUUCCAUAUACAUCAUCAGUUUCCUUAUGAAAUCAAAUUCAGAGCUUAUUUUUUAGCUCUGCUGCUCAGAGUUCAUUGCAAAAUAAAACGACAUUACUAUGUAAUAAUAGCUACUGUAUAUGUAUGUAAAUCGUACGGUGACUCACAAAAUCAUGUUAUGGCUGUUUUCAGGCUGCUGUCCAUAAGCUCUAUGAUAAAGUGGCCCAGCCUCUGGUUCCCAUCUAUGUCUCCCACCUAGCCAAUGGAGUCUCAUGUUUCUGCUGACCCUACCAACAGAUGACUCAGUGGCUCUGUGCCUUUGGAAGGGUGUGGGUGUGGCAUAGGCUGCAGCACAAUUGACUGGCCCAGCAAUGGCUUGUUGGGGCAGGGAUGUUGAGUCUUUCUCCACUGCCACCUAAACUGUAUGAAAUUAGCUUCCUGAGCUCUUUCUUGCCUGAGGGCACUGCAUUAACCAGCAGGUGCCAUGUCUGCUGUCUUUGAAAGGGAGAAACUUGUUAUGCUGAGUCUGGAAAAAAUAGGGAAAAGAGAGCUGGGUUAUGGCUAGACAUCUUUUAGACUUAAUCACAUGUUAAAGUGAAAAAUCUGUUUAUUGUGCAUACAUCUCCCACAGUAUUAGCCAAGACCAUAUCAGAAGCUGAAAAUACAAAGUAGAAGUCUGCCGACACAGUUAUUAAUAAUUCUUCAUUAAAAAAUUUAAAAUCUGAGGGAAAUGUUAGACAAGUUGGGACACUGGGACCACAGGUAUAAACCGGGAUUGUCCCGCUUACAGGAAAAUAAGGGAGCUUCAUUUUCUUUGCCCUUUUGGGAAUGGUGUUUGUAAUUUUCCUCCCUGCUGUACUAGCAUAUUUGAGUUUUCUAAAGUUGUGGUUUCCUAGGUUUGAAUUCACUAAGCUAAUAGCAAUAAAUGAGCCCAGAAUGCCUGCUUGAUACCUGUGGCUGUGUGACCACCAGUUUAUUUCUUUUGCUGUUGAAAGUAAUUUAAAAGCUGCCUGAUUGACUAGGCUGUCUUGGUCACUUAGUUAUAAGGACAGACCUGAGCCGGCAGGGAACAAAAGGCCUGGCACAUGUUAUGUAGUCAAUAAAGAGUUUAAUAAAGGAGCUAUUGUUGGGGGUGUUAUUGAAAGCCACCAACUUUCUCAUGGCUGUUUUCCUUGUAACAGUAGUGAUCUCAAAGGAGAUUCCAUGGUUAUGUGUUUAUGACUCAUAUAAACUUAUAGAUAUUUAAUGGAAAUAUAAAUAAAGAGUCAAAAAGUAAUGUCAAUAGUUUCUUGAAAAUCAUGGUAAAAUGACCUUAGAGCAUUCAAAAUGUCAAUAAACAACUGCCCCAUUAUAGCACCAGAAUCAUAAGAUCAUGCAAAGAGGUUUACAGAAAUAAAAAAAGAAGGAGAGAGAGAUAGACCACUUAUCUCAGAAUCUUUGGGCAAAGACCUAGCACAAUCUACUCUUUCUGCAGUGUCUACUGCAACUUUUGCCUCUGCUUGACAUGUCAAACUAUGCAGCUAAAUGCUGAUACUCGAUAUUAUUUGAUGUCCUAAUCAGGCACUCAUUCAAUAGAAACCACUGUGGAAUGUUGCAAAGACAUAGAAAUUGAAAUUCUAGUUGCUGAUGUUAUUCUUAGCUUGCCACUUUGGUUCCAGGGUUUAAAUUGAUUUUUUUUCUAGGCUUUUAAUUAAGUAUAUGAACAGGGGCAUAAUGAGACCAUGGUUAACACUAGAAUUGGUGUGAGGUUCUCUCAUCACUCACCACACCUUGUUUCAAAUCUUUUUAAUUGUUAUUUUUCAGCAUUAAAGAGAGUGGACAUUAUCAUUUAUAUUUAAUUUGUCUAAGAACGUUAUAGAGGGACCAGAUGUAUUUUCUCAAAGGACAGAUACCUAUAUUAGACAUGAAGGGAAUUUUAUAGUUAGUCCUUAAGAGGUAGGAUAGCUUUGUGUGUUCUGUAAUUUAGUUGCUUAAAUUCUGACAGAAUAAAACAACUUGUGUUGCUCUGAAAAUAACUGGUGGAAAGAAACCGCUUUAGCAUGGGCUUCAUCAAAGACUGUUCUAUGGAGCAUGAGUCAUAUGAACUGCUCCAUGAAAAGAGGAUUCUGUGGCCAAGACCCACCUUAUUUUUUGUUCUUGGAGUUUGGUUAGUCCUGUGAUGGAGAAACCAUUCCUGGAGUUUUCUAAAGCUUUCUCGAGUUUAUCAUUAAAGUCCUUAUUCUGCAUUACUUCUCAUAGAAGCACUGUAGUAGUGUAAUAUCAUUUCUUUAAGUCUGUUUUCUUGCAUUUGUUGGGUUAAUGUCUUACUUUCUACAGUCCCAAGACAUUAUUUCCUAUUCAUUUUAUCUACACUAAAUAUAGAUGUAUUUUUCUUUCAGUUCUUUUCUUCCAGCAGACAAUGAUAACCCCUACAAAUGCUCUCAAUGUCUGUCAUCAUAUAAAAUCAGUGACUCUCUUUCCAGAGUUCAUGAGCUUGUGUUAUCCAGUGUCAUUUCUUACAUUUUUUUGCUUCUUGAUAUUUGAAGCUUUGUUAUCAUCUACUCCACAGUAGAACCAUUGAAAUUUAGCUCAGUUUGAAAUUUGGUCAACUUCUGUUUCUCUCAUUCCCAUUUCUCUUAUCCCCAAAUGUCACUUUGUUCUCAUAUUUGAUCAGUACAAUAAACACUGAUCUAUUGUAUUUGUAUCUGUCAUUCCCAUAAAAUGAAAACGUUCUGGAUUAUGGAUAUAAUCUUUUGACAGACCAAUACUGACCUUAUUCACAUCCCCCACCCCUGAAUAGUAGAUUUACUACAUUUUUUCCCCCUCCAGUACAAGUCUCAGUGGUUGCUGAAAGUGUAGAAUCCAGGCCAGCAGUCUCAGUGGGACACCUUUCUGCCCUGCUGUAGGAGUUAAAAUCUGGAUUCAUUCAAUUUACUUGAGGAAAUCUGAGUACCUUUGACAUUCAGGGCAUUGGGGUACAGUGACGAGGAAGAGUACAGACAGGCCCUGCCUUCAUGAGACAUAGAUGACAGUGUUGUCAGCUGCUUCUGAAAUAGUGUGCAAUACAGUUUUUAAAAAAUGUUUUGUGCAGCUGAUUAAGUACACAUCCCCAGCACCUUCCCCAGGGAACUCUCACACUACUAGUCUGUGUACCAGCCCUGGACGCCCCAAGGCCAGGUACCAGACAACUAAAAAUAGCCCCUAAGUCCCAGAGCCUGUGAAAUUAUUCCAAUCAGCCAGCUCACAGGGAGCUUACUAAACUUAGUUAACCCCGCCCUGCUUGUAUAUCAACUCCCCCCUGCCCCAGGGUGUGAAACCUCUGUGUGGCUCUGCCUGGCGGCCUUCUCUAUUUUGGCAAAUAACAAAAAGUCCUGCUUUUCAUCUAUCCAAGUGUCAGUGUGUGGUAUCCUGCCAUCAAAGAACUUAUAAAUCUAGUAAAACAGAGCUGCAAGCAAAAUUGUGGUUUUUCUUUCUUAUUGUUAUGAAAAUUUCAAAGGACUUAAAAUGGAGUACUAAUUGGUGGUGAAAAGGAGAUGGGAUCAGGAUUUUAAGAGGAGGGAGGAAAUUUUUAAAAAAUUACUUAAGUAACUUUGUUCUCCCACCAAGGACAUUAGCCAAUUAAUAUACUCCUUGUAUUCAUUUGUUUAUUGCAUGCUUAUUGAGCAUUUGCUGUAUCACCUUGGUAAUAUACAAUGUUCUAGGAGGUAUGUAGGAACAGAAAAUGCUUACCCUUUUCUUGAGAAACCUACAGAUUAAUUGAGAAGCAUAACAUGCAUGUAGAAUGAUUAGGUAGAUAAAAUCAAGUCUGUAGUAAUAUAGCUACACCAUUCCUGUAAGUCCAAAAAAUGACAAAAAUACUAGAAAACUAGGGAAAUAAAUUUGCUUGCAAUUUUCAGUGAUAGCUAACCUUAAAGUAAUUUUUAAGUUACUCAGUAAUUUGGCUGAAGAAGUAUUUGCAUCAUUGCUCUUUUCCUCAGUUCAUUCUUCCCAGUUCUGAUACCCUUUCUCUGAGGCACAUAGGGCCUAGCUGUUUCUAACUGUAUGUAAAGCUCCAAUGGUAUGGAGUCAUGGGGAUUUUGAGCUGAAGCAGGUAACGAAGUUCUCCCAAGGGAUAGAUUUUGAAGGAAUGUGUUGGCAGUUUGGAUCAGAUGAAGCUUUUUCUUUUAAAACUUGGGUAUGUUUCAAAAAGGAAAAUGGUUUCAGCCCAAAUCCAUGUGCACAACCAACCUUCCUGUUUGGGGAAUUGAAUGCUUAGCUAGUUUAUUUUUGAUGGACAGCCUUCUGUGUGUUUUAAAUGAUGGUUGACUGGCCUAGAAACUGUUUUUUUUCCAGAAUGCAUUUGGUGGUGUUCCCUGAUCUUCAAGGGAACUCACACUUUUUGUGAAGGAGAAGGAGGAAGCUGUAGUUGAUCAAGGCUCUGUCCUUCUCUAGACUCAUUCCACUGACUGUCAACCGUUCUUCCUACCAAUGCUUUCUUAAUUGAACAUCUGCCCUGUAUAAAGGACCAUAGUGGCCUCAGCAAGGGAUGCUAAGCCUGCCAACAGAGAGACGCGGCAUGGACUUUAUAUGUGGCAGAAUGUGGGCCUGGCCAUAAGAGAGACAUAAAGUGUUGUGCACACGGAGUGAAAGAAUCACUUCAAACUGGGUGGAUCUAGAAGAGCUUUACAGAAAAAAUAACACUUGAGCUGGGACUUGGAGAACAGGUUUGAUUUGGCAGCUAGAGAAGGAAUCAGCAAACUGAAGCCUAUGGGCCAAAUCCAUCCUCUCCUGUUUUUAUAGAUAAAGUUGUAUUGGAUCUCAGCCAUGCCCAUUCACUGAUGUAUUAAUCUAUGGCUGCUUUCAUCCGACAACAGCAGAGUCCUGUUGAGGACAGGAGACUAUACAGAGGACAGCUGUAUAGCCCUUAAAGCUAAAACAUUUUCUAUCUGCCCUUUUAUAGAAAAAGUUUGUGACCCUUGGUUUAAAGUCAGUUGCCUGAGGGACUUGAUAUAUGGCCUUGAUAUUUGAACUUGAUGUAAGCCAAAAUAUAUGACUUCAUUUGGCAGACAUUCUGGAAACAAGAGUGUUUCUUAGACUUGGAAGUGUUUGGGUGUUCAUGAUGGCACUGAACUUCAGGACAGGGAGUGAGGUAGAUGAACUCCAGAAGGGAGAUGCUACAGGCAGUAAAAAAAAAAAAAAUGCAUAAGUUAAUGUUGUUGCAUAUGUGAAAAAGAAUGAAUGUGGAUUAGGAGGAUAUCUUGGAUAAAAGGAAGAGGGUACAAAAAACAUUGUGAACAAAGCUCUAGAAGGGUGACCCAAAGGAAAGACAGAAUUGAGGAUGAAUCUAGAAUCUUGAGCCUGAAUGAUGGGGAAUGUCAAGGAUUCCUUCUCUGAAGAUAUAUUGACCUGAACAGGACAAAUUUUCCCUCCCCUGCUCCAUUCCAGUUAGGAGGAGGGAUCAAGAUGGCAUGGACCCAUCCCUCAGGGCAGCUGGUGUUAGAGGAGAGGUAGUUAAAAGCUAUUGUUAUUGAGGGAGCAAGACUCAAAGCCUUACUUAUGGAAAAAUAGCUGUUACUGUAUAGGAAACCAUCCUAUGUUGUCUCUUAGAAAAAAACCACUAUGUGAGUUGGAGGAGUGUCCUUGUAUUUUAGGUCAUCUUGCAGGAUUGCGAGAUAAAAUAUAAAUUGCCUGUUAAAUUUGAAUCAGAUCAACAAGGAACACAUAUUUGUAUAAAUAUGCCCCAAACAUUAUGGGACAUACCUGUACCAAAAAUCCUUUGUUCUUGAUCUGAAAUUCAAAUUUAUCUGGGCAUCAAUUUCAGAUCAACAAUGAAUAACUUGUAGUAUCUGUCCCAAGGAUGGGAUAUAUUUAUACCAAAAAAAAUAAUCUGUUGAUUAUCUAAAAUUCAAAUGUAAUUGGGCUUUUUUCCCUAAAUCUGAUAACCCUAUUUCUAAGGUAAGCAGCCAAAGUUUUUACUUUUGGGGAGACUGAACAAGGAUUGGGGCACCUAAAUUUGUUUACCCUCAUAGGAAUGGAGUUGACUCCUUUGGCCCUUCUGGAGCCCACAAUGAACAGAGGAGAGUUCAGUGGACAUCAGGCCAGAGUGUGGGACACUGAUAAGGAGGGCAGAUAGAGGAUGGAUCAAUGGGCAUUGUGGGCUGAAGUUUCCAGUGGUCAAACACCAAUGUAGAUGUUGCUGUGAAGGUGUUUUUUAGAUGUGAUUAACAUUUAAGUCAGUAGAAUUUGAAUACAGUAGACCACUCUCCAUAAUGUGGAUGGGCCUUAUCCAAACAGUUGAAGGUCUUAAGAGAAAAGGCUGAUGUCACUAGAAGAGGAGGGAUUUCUGCCUCCAGACUGCCUUUGAACUCAAGACUGUAACAUUUACCCCUGCUGGAAUUUCCAGCCUGAUAGCCUGCCCUGCAGAUUUUGGACUUGCCAGCUCCCACAGUUGCAUUAGCCAAUUCCUUAAAGUAAAUCUGUGUCUCUCUUUGUCAUAUGUAUGUCUGUAUAUAUUUGUAUACAUAUAUGUGUAUUCACACACACAGACACACACACAUUCUGUUGGUUCUGUCUCUCUGGAGAACCCUAACUAAUACAGGGAGGCAGAUGUAUUAGUAGCAUUGAUGCCCAUUCAUUUUCUCAGAGUUCUAUUGGGAGCUGUAUCAGUGGAGCCACUGCUGAUUUCCUCCAGCACCAGUUUUCUUCCCUCAGCCCCAAGCCUGAGCCACAGUAAGACCAAACUCCCUGGUUGCCCACACAGGUCAUCAAGAUGCGUUAUUUCAAUCAGGGAAAGAUAACCACACCUGGGUUACACCUCUGUGAGCCAUCGCACAUGGGAGGGGGGCUGUUCCGCAGAGCUGGAUGGGCACAGCAUUGGUCUUGGGAUUUGCAGAGGGAGAACUGCCGUUUGACCUCAGGUAAACCCCCAACACAGCAGCCACGGAGUGUGCUGUUAAAACAGCUUGUGCCUAGGAAGACUGCUUCUCCAUAUUUCUUUCCCCUCUUUAUCCAGCCUCCUCACUGGAGAGAUGAUGCAAAGAAAGACGUGCAGGUUUAUAUUAAACAUCUUUGGUAGAUGGCGUGUCUGUCUGCUCUCCUCCCAGCUCCCUAGCAACAGCUAUGUCAUUCUUUUAUACAUUUUUUUUUUCAUGGAAAUUCUAGCUUUCUGUGUAGGUCUCUCUCUCUCUCUUUUUUUCUCAGUAUCUUUCCCUCUGCCUGUGUCUAUUUCCCUUUCUCUCCCUUUCUCCCCUGCUUCUGUCUCUGUCUCUGUCUCUCUGUGUGUUUCUUUCUCUCUGCUGUGAUUUCCCACAUUAGCCACUGUCCAUUUCUUUGAUUCCUUCUUGGCAACAAGAGUUACAGCACCAUUAUGCAGCAAGCAGUCCUGCUUCCCUGCUACCUUAAAAUAAUAAUGUUUCAUGGUGACAAAUGGAUAUAGUUAACAAUGAAAGUAAAAUGCUUAGCAGGCAGGGGUGCGACCAGGUCAGAUUUAUCUGCCUGGCAGAAACAGAGUAUCCUGAGAUUCCCUAAAGAAAGGAAUAUAUGUGUGAGGGUAGCUGGUAGUGCUUGCUAGGUGGACCCUGCUGCUGUUUUAUUUUUAAUUUAGCUUCCAUAAAUUGCAAGAAUAAUUUCUCAAAAGCAGAAAAAUAGUUAUUUUUUAUUUACUCAGGUUUUGUUAUUGUCUUAGGAAACUUAACAUUAGCAGAUUUUAAAAUCUGAUUUUACAUUUGCUGUUUUUCUUUGAUAAAAAGUUAAAACCCAGAAUAAGACAAUCUUAAUUAAUGCAGAUAAAUAAUCCUUUUUGUGCUCAGUGGCUAAAGUUUCUAUGUUGUGUUGAAAAAGGCCCAAUUAAAGUGAAAAAAAUUGAUUUUUUUUUCUAGACUGCCUUUCUACUACUGAGAGGAAGAAAAACCCC
This 8402-nucleotide long non-coding RNA is filed under the name Sus scrofa (pig). RNAcentral describes it as "lncRNA (ENSSSCG00040038944.1)". Lineage: Eukaryota; Metazoa; Chordata; Mammalia; Artiodactyla; Suidae. The record is from RNAcentral.